CUGAGAACGUGCACGCAGAAAGGAUGAACUGUUCCCGAGCCGUCCGCUCCUUUCCCGCAAAGGCCGCAAGAACCCCUUUCCCCCGCAGCCGCCGCAACCUUCUUACCGUCCUUCUCCACCCCGCGUCCCCGCUGCCUCCUCUCCCUCUUCCGCGGGACCAGAUGAAGCGGACAAGAGCGGCGGCUCGCCCGACCACCGUUCUACCCCGGUGCUUGUCCGAGCCGAGCGGUCGAUCCGCUAGCUCUCCCAGCCCCCGCGGCUUCGUCAUCUGCUCCUCCAUUGACGGCAGCUGGGGAUUGCAAAUGUCAGCGAGAAAGGCCAUCCAUCGUCCGAGCACACCGACGUCUCCCUCUCCCUUCUUCUGGUGGCACCUACUUAUGCGAGCUCCUUCUUCCAAUCCCUUGCGUUGCCUGUCUUCCUGCUCCUUCAGCUCCUCCUUCUCACAGCAUGUAUUUUCUAUUUGUUUUGCAAUUAUACUCCAUGGUCCCAUGGAUCUGGAAGUAGACAUUUUAGUGUUUUUCCUAUUCCAUAAUCUGCUUUUUUUUUGCUAAGAGUACAGUUUUCCUGCGUGGGGGAUUUGGCUGGUUAUAUAGGAUGGUAAUUGCCUCAAAUGAUUCAGGUUAAGAGUGACAAGAUGUUUAAAGGUACAAAGAUAAAUAGCGUGGAGAACAGAUCAGUGAUCCAUGUGGCUCUAAGGGCUCCAAGAGUGGUCCCUGAAGCUUAGGUCGUUAAGGAUAAAAUCAAGCAGUUUUCAGAAACUUUUAGGAGUGGCUCAUGGGUUGUCUGGUCUCAACUUGGUGGUAGCUUCCUUCAACCUCUGUUUCUGCAUGCAGCUCUCCAGACUGGCAAACAAAUAUUUUAUCCUCUCCUUUCUCUAGGUUUUCUAAACUGAGAUUUUAUAUACUGCCAGAUUUUGAUCUGAUAUAUCAUGAAAAUAUUACUAAUUUUCAGACCUGGAAGCAGCAGAGUCCGCCAAAGGCCGUCAACUGAGAGUGUAAAUGUGUAAAUGGGCAUGUUUCUGUGUUUCUUUUGCUGGCACCUGUUACAUGUUGUGCUAGCACUUCCUAUAGAUGCUCAAAAAUAUUAAAUGUGAUCGAGUAGUGCCACCAUUCAUGCAACCGUAUCCAGGAAUUCUUUCAUUGGGAGAAGAAGCAGGUGACUGGCCUUUACUGUGUUUUGUUAUGGUCCUCUCCUAUUUAGUGGUAGAUAUGAUGUAUAGGUUGAAGCAUGUGAUGUUUCUUUCAGUGCAUAUUUGUGCUUUACGACGUUUGAUGCACACACAUAGUUGAACCUCUUAUUCCAUGUAACACUUUCCAAAAGAAGAAUUUAUUAACCUUACUGUUUUUGCUCUUUUCAGAUUUUAGCCUGGGUGUAUAAACAUACAUGCCACCCGUUGUAUUUAAAUUUCAGUGCAAGAUUAAACUAGGGGAUUAAUCAUUUAUGGAAGUGAAAUGAUUGAAUAGCUAAUUGUAUAGAUUUAGUAUCGUAUCAUUUAUUUGUGACUGCAUGAUCUUAAUAGCGCAUCUCUGAAAAUAUGUUAGGCUCUUGCUCUUGUAAGAUUAGACUGAUGUGGUAUUGCUUUAUAAAUAAAUGUCACGCUAGCUUACCGGUUUGAUUUAGGUGUGUAGGCAGAGGCGAAAAAACAAUCAUAAUCUCAGGUUUAGGCAUGCACAUGGCCACUGAUCACAAAGUAGGUAGGCACAGGUGCAGUAUUGCGAUCUUUAGCAAGAAAAAGAGAAGUGCGGUUAAUUGUUCAGAUUUUAAGCUGCUCUUGAACCGUGCCCUAAUAACUAGAACUGUUGUGAUGUUGCUCUAUUAUAAGUGCCUUGCUCAAAAUGCUUCGUUAGGUCGCGUGUAUAACAAGGAGAAGGCUAGCUGAACCAUGCUAGAAAUAACAUUAAUGUGUUAUGCUUCAGAUAAGCCAAAUAUUUUGUGAUAAGCUUCUAUGGAAAUUACCUGGGGUUGGGAAGAAAGCAAAGAUGUAGCUAUCAUGUGUUGUGCAUGCUGGAAAUGCUUGUGUAUAGGAUCCUAUGCGUAUUAGCUUCUCCUUACCGGCAUAUGGUAAUAGUUGUGAUCCAAGAGAAGAAUGACGGUCUUAUAGCUCUGCCUUCGCCUGGCUCACAGUCCUUCGUGCUCUCCUCUUGGUAUAACAUUCAAUGGUAGUGAUAGCUUUGGGUGUGACUCUGCACCCUUUCAAGUAAUCGUGUUCCCCCAAUGAAAUCUUUAAUUUUACACUCAGUUUAUGAGAAAACAACUGGACUAAUGGUUAAUGAUCCAGUGUUGAGAAAAAAAAUGUAAUGUGCAUUGAGUGGCUUUAGUUUUCUUUCCCAUCAUACAAUGUACCUUUACGUUUUCCUAAAUUUUAAUUAUUGGAAGGCCCCUUAGUAUUGCCAAA
Triticum aestivum (bread wheat) is the source of this 2395-nucleotide long non-coding RNA. RefSeq lists it as uncharacterized. Lineage: Eukaryota; Viridiplantae; Streptophyta; Magnoliopsida; Poales; Poaceae. The transcript has 5 exons. The record is from RefSeq and is a predicted model, not a curated record.